AUACAGUGUCAGUUUAUGUUCAAAUCCUUGCAGAGGGAUUGGGCAGACAAUUGUUAAUCCUGAAUUUUGUUCAUGUUCCGGGGGCAGCUAUUUUCUCUGAGUUCAAGCACUAUAAACCCAAGAAGGGGUUUACAAGCACAAAAUGUUUUGCCUUCAUGGAAAUGGAUGAGAUCAAACCUGGUCCCAUUGUGAUCGAGUUGUACAAGAAGCCUACUGACUUCAAGAGGAAGAAGCUCCAGCUCCUGACCAAGAAGCCACUCUAUCUCCACCUCCACCAGACGUUGCACAAAGAUUAAUAACCGAGGUCACAGAGUAGAGCACAUCAAGAAAGCAGCAGCGCCACAGAAUUCCACUGUAGUCAUCAGACAUCCAGUAAAGUUUGGUGUAGCGACUCCCUAUCCGCCUCCACUCACAUCAACAAUACUAAACCCAGCAGGCCCAAAUGCCACAACCUCAACUCUGUGAUAGGACGGCCCUGGAUGACACAUAUUAACUACAGCGGUGACAGCACACUACUGUAUAAUGCUGCUUCGUAACCCAGUGGGAGGUGGGAAUUUACCAGUUGUGAAGUCGUAAAUACCAGUUGGAUGCAUUCAACUUGUUGAGAAAAGAUCAUUUGGCUAAUGGCCAACAAGCUGCCUAAACCAUAAACUAAAAGCUAUCAUGCUGGUAAACAAAUGAGUGUUAAAAAACAUAUUAAUAGAUUGCUUUUUAUAAAUAAUGUUUUGUUGCAUUUAAUUGCAAAAAAAUGCUGUUAUCCAGGUAAUUUCCUAAUUAGGUGACGUCAGAGGUCAGCAUGUGGGAGAAGUGGGAGCUCAGGAUGAUGUAUGAGUUUCCCACUAGUAAUUACCAGUUGGAGGGCCUUUCAAAUGGUAAAUUCCCACUUGGUUACAAAACGCAGUAUUUGACCCCUCUGGUGCCAAUUAGCGAUCACUUUUUUUCUCCUCUCUGCAUGAUGCUCAAUGGAAAAGAAGAGUUGAGUUAGCAAUUGGUACUGUAUGUCAAACAACCAGCCUCGUCUUUAGUCUUCCUCUGCCUUUCCCUUUGGGGAUGAAAGAGAAUCAACAUGAUCAUAGGUGCUCAAGCGGUCUAUUGAUGAUGUCAUAUCCUGGUGCUGACACUGCCACAGUGAAAAUAUAUAACUGCCCUGUUCAUUUACUUACAUCCUUAUCACUGAUCUGGCGUUAUUUAAUAGGUAAAAGUAAUAUAUUGGGAUAUUUGCUUUAAUCUAUCACAUUAGAUGUGUGAUUAUUUCAAGGAUGGGAGGAAGGAUGCAUAUUUUUUAGCAUUCAAAAAUGAUUCUGAGAUGCUAUGAUGUCAUCCUACAUUUACAUUUAAGUCAUUUAGCAGACGCUCUUAUCCAGAGCGACUUACAAAUUGGAAAGUUCAUACAUAUUCAUCCUGGUCCCCCCAUGGGAAUUGAACCCUGGUCCCCCGUGGGAAUUGAACCCACAACCCUGGCGUUGCAAGCGCCAUGCUCUACCAACUGAGCCACACGGGACCUACUUUGAAGAAUCUCAAAUAUAAAUUAUAUUUAGAUUUGAUUAACACUUGUUUGGUUACUACAUGAUUUCAUAGUUUAUGUCUUCACUAUUAUUCUACAACGUAGACAAUCAUCAAAACAAAGAAAAACCCUAGAAUGAGUAGGUGUGUCCCAACCCUUGACCGGUACUGCAUCUAUAGCAUGAGGUCAAGUUACAAUACCUAACAGUAGGUAAAACUUCAAACUAAAACUAGUUCAGAAGAAAAACAGCUUAUUUCAGCUGUAAUGAACGACAGGACUUAGGAACAUGCUUAAAUGUUUUAGAUCGUAUAUGUUAUGUUGACGUGAAGACCAUCUCUGAUAUAGACCGAUACAUACUAUUAUUAAAUAAACACCGCACCCAAGUCAAGUGUGUUUAGUAUCUUCAACAUGUUGGGGCAGCGUCUAAAAACGUUCAUUACUGCACACUGUAGCAAAACGUUAUGCAACGGAAAAACAGACGUUUCUUAUUGGACAAAUUCAGGUCAGUACCCUCCCUGUUUCGGUCCGUUUUCUUCGGUUUGGUGUCUAGUGAAUAAGACCCUGCUGUUGCUCCAAGCCAACACCAACCCAGGACAAGCUGGUAUCCUGGUUCUGUAAGAUGUGCCCCUGCAGUUCGGCUAAAAUCACUGUAAUAAUCUCCAUCCAUCCACAGGGAGACCGCCAGUCACUGUCCCCUACAGUACGUUAUGAAACAAACCAUAUGCGUUCUUAACUAGGAACAACUUUGUUUCUUCAGAGCAACGUAGCCUUUAGUCUUUAAAAUGUUGCUAAUGCUAGUUAGCAUGGUAGCGUUACAUUGGCUUACUGUAGUUUUUUGGUGUAGGUGCUCGUGCAGGUCCCGUUAUAAAGGGAGUUGAAAAGGAUGCUGCAUGUAACUGAAGUUGACUUUUACCUUUGUUUUGAAUGCUGUUCCCAUCAAGGCCACACUGGCUAACCACUAUUAAAACAUUGUCUCCUUUUUAUUAUUAUUUUUUUUUUUUGUAAUGGCACUAACUGAAUACACUUAUGGUGCUUUCAAGACAACUGGGAACUCUGAAAAGAAUUUGGUCAAAUCAUGACGUCAGUGAUCAUCGGGUCGAAAAGUCAGAGCUCUAGAAAGGUGCCAGAGUUCCCGACGUGGAAUUCCGAGUUGGAUGACUUAAAAGAUUUCUCCCAGUCGGAGCUUGUUUUUUUCAGAGUUCCCGGUUGUCUUGAACACACCGAAGUCGGAUAUUUCUGAGUUCCCAGUUGUUUUGAACACGGCAUUAAGAGACACUAAUCAGUGCAUAUUAUUGUGUGUGCUGUACGACAGGGUUGACGAUUGUCAAUACAGUGUUGUGCUUUUGGUAACAGGUUGUGAUAAAAUGAACAUUUAUCAUUGGACUGACAAUUUACACUGCUUUCAUUUUUAAUAAACAAAAUGCUGUUUGAA
Salvelinus fontinalis (brook trout) is the source of this 2936-nucleotide long non-coding RNA. RefSeq lists it as uncharacterized. The record is from RefSeq and is a predicted model, not a curated record. NCBI's taxonomy places the organism in Eukaryota, Metazoa, Chordata, Actinopteri, Salmoniformes, Salmonidae. The transcript is spliced from 2 exons.